AGCUCCAAUAGCGUAUAUUAAAGUUGUUGCAGUUAAAAAGCUCGUAGUUGGAUUUCGGAAUGGGCCAGUUGGUCCGCCUAACGGUGUGUUACUGACUGGUCUGUUCUUCUUCGCAAAGACUGCGUGUGCUCUUUAUUGAGUGUGCGUAGGAUUUACGACGUUUACUUUGAAAAAAUUAGAGUGUUCAAAGCAGGCUAUCGCUUGAAUACAUGAGCAUGGAAUAAUGGAAUAGGACUUUGGUCCUAUUUUGUUGGUUUCUAGGACCGAAGUAAUGAUUAAGAGGGACAAUUGGGGGCAUCCGUAUUUCGUUGUCAGAGGUGAAAUUCUUGGAUUUACGAAAGACGAACAACUGCGAAAGCACUUGCCAAGAGUGUUUUCAUUAAUCAAGAACGAAAGUACG
This 400-nucleotide ribosomal RNA is filed under the name phytoplankton environmental sample. Its description in RNAcentral is "partial small subunit ribosomal RNA". It matches the Rfam family "Eukaryotic small subunit ribosomal RNA", at positions 587 to 993 of the family's 1831-position model. The record is from RNAcentral.